RNAcentral lists this unclassified non-coding RNA (337 nucleotides) under soil metagenome. Its description in RNAcentral is "partial contains 5.8S ribosomal RNA, internal transcribed spacer 2, and large subunit ribosomal RNA". The stretch from base 1 to 120 matches the Rfam family "5.8S ribosomal RNA", at positions 35 to 154 of the family's 154-position model. The record is from RNAcentral.
GAUGAAGAACGUAGCGAAAUGCGAUAAGUAAUGUGAAUUGCAGAAUUCCGUGAAUCAUCGAAUCUUUGAACGCACAUUGCGCCCCCUGGCAUUCCGGGGGGCAUGCCUGUCCGAGCGUCAUUUCUGCCCUCAAGCACGGCUUGUGUGUUGGGUGUGGUCCCCCCGGGGACCUGCCCGAAAGGCAGCGGCGACGUCCGUCUGGUCCUCGAGCGUAUGGGGCUCUGUCACUCGCUCGGGAAGGACCUGCGGGGGUUGGUCACCACCAUGUUUUACCACGGUUGACCUCGGAUCAGGUAGGAGUUACCCGCUGAACUUAAGCAUAUCAAUAAGCGGAGGA